RNAcentral lists this long non-coding RNA (727 nucleotides) under Rattus norvegicus (Norway rat). RNAcentral describes it as "long non-coding RNA NONRATT030649". Lineage: Eukaryota; Metazoa; Chordata; Mammalia; Rodentia; Muridae. The record is from RNAcentral.
CUAGGCCUUACCACUCUCUGUGUGUGUUCUGGCAUGCUGGGAGGUCAUGUCUUCUAUAAACAUGUGAGGUGACCACUCUUGGCAUUCUGCAGUCUGGCGCAUUGACAAUCUGGUAGCUGGAUAUGGAUGAAGAACCUGUGGAGAGGGGACAGAAAAGGUAUGAGACAUGGUCCAGGAAUGGAGUCCUGUGAGAAGACUUCUGAGUGCUUGUGAGAAUAUUCCUAAGAGUCCGAUGGCCUUAUGACCAAAGUUUCUUCAAGAUCCCAAAUUGUCCAUGGACUGUGUUUUCAUGCUCUUUUCCUGGUGUUUUGGAAUGAGUUUACUUCAGAUUGCUCAUUAUUGCUUCCUGUUGAAAUUUAACUAAGGUUUAAACUACCCUUUAUAUGCCUUUAUGGAAAAACAUAAUUUGGCAACUUGUAGCUAGUUCUUGUGAUUGUACACAGCUUGAACUCAGGAGAAUUAUAUAUUGAACUUGAGAGUGAUUCCAAUAUCUGAGGCUUUGAAAGAAAAUGGCUUUAGUAUAAGCCUUUAAUACACGUUAUGUUGGGCUCCAUUCUCCUAGGUCCUACUGCCUGUAGAGCAGUGGCAGACAGGUGUGAAUAAACUGGGGAAACAAAGCCCAGAGGCAGGAGGAACUUAAGGUUACAUCAUAUUUUAAAUUGAGCUCCUUGAAAACACACAGGUAUUAUAUUUUCAAUAUUAAUGGUACUAGGGCUGCACUAUCAAU